GAUGAGCGCUGACAGAAUGCUUAACACAUGCAAGUCAACUUGAACUUCGGUUUGGGUGGCGGACGGGUGAGUAACGCGUAAAGAGCUUGCCUCACAGUUAGGGACAACAUUUGGAAACGAAUGCUAAUACCUGAUAUUAUGAUUUUAGGGCAUCCUAGAAUUAUGAAAGCUAUAUGCGCUGUGAGAGAGCUUUGCGUCCCAUUAGCUAGUUGGAGAGGUAACGGCUCACCAAGGCGAUGAUGGGUAGCCGGCCUGAGAGGGUGAACGGCCACAAGGGGACUGAGACACGGCCCUUACUCCUACGGGAGGCAGCAGUGGGGAAUAUUGGACAAUGGACCAAGAGUCUGAUCCAGCAAUUCUGUGUGCACGAUGAAGUUUUUCGGAAUGUAAAGUGCUUUCAGUUGGGAAGAAAAAAAUGACGAUACCAACAGAAGAAGUGACGGCUAAAUACGUG
RNAcentral lists this ribosomal RNA (454 nucleotides) under uncultured bacterium. RNAcentral describes it as "partial 16S ribosomal RNA". It matches the Rfam family "Bacterial small subunit ribosomal RNA", at positions 28 to 507 of the family's 1533-position model. The record is from RNAcentral.